CCCAGCCCUGGAGCUCCUGCACGGAGAGACCGGUCCUCGUGGGUGACGGGAUGCCUCCCAGGUUAAAGACUUUUUGAAGUAAAGAGGAGCAUCUCAUCUGAACCUGAUGUAUAUCAUGGAUAUUUAACUGCAGUUCUGUGAGUAUCCCAACUUAACCAUGAAGAUGAACUGCAAACUGUAAGUCAUUAAUUUCUCAUUACUCUUGGGCACAUUGAUGUAUUUUGGCUUCCUGGUGAGUUAACCUGUUACCUAAAGGUUGAUCUGAGUAGUAAGGAUGUUUUAUUGGUUCAUGGGUUACUUAGGUGUUUGGUUUAUGUUGGUUUUAAUGAUUUGUUAAAAUGGUUACAGGCUCCAAAUUCUUCUUCUUUCAUUCUACUCUCCUGAGCUCUGCAUCUUCAUCACAUGAGGGUUGCUUUACUUUAGUGUUUUUACCAUAGCCCUGCAACGUCACCCUGACCGCCUCAUCACCAACAGCAAAUCAUGCCAGCCAGCCAACACAUGUAAAGCUCCAGUGAGAA
Long non-coding RNA from Gadus chalcogrammus (walleye pollock), 518 nucleotides. RefSeq lists it as uncharacterized. The record is from RefSeq and is a predicted model, not a curated record. NCBI's taxonomy places the organism in Eukaryota, Metazoa, Chordata, Actinopteri, Gadiformes, Gadidae. The transcript has 3 exons.